RNA transcript from Manihot esculenta (cassava), 1766 nucleotides. It is a transcript of the gene named acyl-CoA thioesterase 2, with no coding region annotated. The transcript has 18 exons. Lineage: Eukaryota; Viridiplantae; Streptophyta; Magnoliopsida; Malpighiales; Euphorbiaceae. The record is from RefSeq and is a predicted model, not a curated record.
CACGUGGUUGGCUACACCGCUAUAUAACAUCAUGCGCUUCGUAUCACCGGACUAUACUCCCUGCCAAUUCCACUCCUCACCACUAUACCAGUAAACAGAAAGAUCAAAUCCACCCGCCAUGGCAAUGGACACCGAAUCAGUGAUGGAGUUCUUAGGUGCUGUUCCUUUGCUUCAGAGGCUCCCAAGCUCGUCUCUCAAGAAAAUUGCCCAAAUCGUUACUGUUAAGAGCUACGAGAAAGGCCAGUAUGUUGUUCGUGAGGGAGAGAUUGGGGAAGGAAUCUAUUUCAUCUGGGAAGGAGAGGCUGAAGUAUCUGGAUCAAUUCAUGCUGAGGAAAAUACUCGUCCUGAAUUCCAAUUGCAACGCUAUGAUUACUUUGGUGAUGGUAUUAUCGCUUCCAUUCAGCAGGCAGAUGUUAUUGCUUUGACUAAGCUGACGUGCUUGCUGCUGUCCCAUGAACAUUGUACUUUACUUCGGCCAAAAUCCAUGUGGAGUGCUGAUAAGACUCCAGACUCAUGUUCGCUUGUGGAGAGUAUAUUGCAUUUGGAGCCAAUAGAAGUUAAUAUGUUCCUGGGGGUUACACUGCCAGAUGCCCCAAAAUUUGGAAAGGUCUUUGGAGGACAGUUUGUUGGGCAGGCACUGGCUGCUGCAUCAAAAACUGUUGAUUGCCUUAAAAUUGUUCAUAGCUUGCAUGCCUAUUUCCUUCUUGUUGGGGAUUUCAACAUGCCAAUCUUAUAUGAGGUUGAUCGUGUACGUGAUGGGAAAAGCUUUGCAACGAGAAGAGUUAAUGCAAUACAAAAAGGGAACAUUGUAUUUACAUUAAUUGCUUCAUUUCAGAAAGAACAACUUGGGUUUGACCACCAAGAAGUAACAAUGCCAAAUGUUCCAGAACCAGAGAUGCUUCUAUCAAUGGAGGAGCUACGGGAGAGACGUCUAACUGAUGCUCGUCUACCAAGGAGCUAUCGGAACAAGGUGGCCUCAAAAGAUUUUGUCCCUUGGCCCAUAGAGAUAAGGUUUUGCGAGCCAAACACUAACACUAAUCAGACAAAAUCUGCCCCAAGCUUGAGGUACUGGUUUAGAGCAAGAGGAAAACUCUCAGAUGAUCAGGCUUUGCAUAGAUGUGUAGCGGCAUAUGCUUCAGAUCUUAUAUUUCUUCAAGUCAGUAUGAAUCCCCACCGCACUAAGGGUUUGAAGACAGCUUCUGUUAGUCUAGACCACUCGAUGUGGUUCCACCGGUCGUUUAGAGCUGAUGACUGGAUAUUGUUUGUCAUUACGAGCCCAGCUGCAUCCCACGCCCGCGGCUUUGUAUCCGGCCAAAUGUUCAAUAGAAAGGGGGAGCAUAUUGUAUCAUUGUCUCAAGAGGGUCUGCUGAGGAAAGCUUCAACACCAAACCCUGCCACUGCCUCGAAGCUGUGAGUGGAGCUUAUUGCUGCGAAGUCCUGGUGAAAGUACUAUUAUAAAAAUCAUGGGUUGGAACUUGAAAAUCAUCUAAGCAUAGCAAUUGCCAAUCGAGUAAUGUAAGCCAGGAGCAAUGCAAUCGCAAGCAAAGUCGAAGUAUCAAGCUGCUUUAAUUAUUUAUUUUGAGGCUUGUCAAUUCCCACUCUUUUUUUCUUCUUUAAAAAAAAAAAAGUAGCUAGGUCAGCAAAAGUGGGUUCUGUUUAAGUUGUCCUGAUUAAUGAGUUUGUGGGAUUGUAUAUGUAGUUUACAAUUGCAUUUUUUUUCCAUAAUAGUUCAAAGUUUUUAUAUCUUAAAUAUAUGAAGAUUAACU